ACAAAUUAUAGCUUAAUUUAAAGCAUCUCGCUUACACCGAGAACAUCUCUGUUAAAAUCAGAUUGAUUUGA
This 71-nucleotide transfer RNA is filed under the name Elachistocleis ovalis (common oval frog). RNAcentral's name for it is "tRNA-Val". It matches the Rfam family "tRNA". From Rfam's summary of the family: Transfer RNA (tRNA) molecules are approximately 80 nucleotides in length. Their secondary structure includes four short double-helical elements and three loops (D, anti-codon, and T loops). Further hydrogen bonds mediate the characteristic L-shaped molecular structure. tRNAs have two regions of fundamental functional importance: the anti-codon, which is responsible for specific mRNA codon recognition, and the 3' end, to which the tRNAs corresponding amino acid is attached (by aminoacyl-tRNA synthetases). tRNAs cope with the degeneracy of the genetic code in two manners: having more than one tRNA (with a specific anti-codon) for a particular amino acid; and 'wobble' base-pairing, i.e. permitting non-standard base-pairing at the 3rd anti-codon position. Lineage: Eukaryota; Metazoa; Chordata; Amphibia; Anura; Microhylidae. The record is from RNAcentral.